GUGAAUCAUCGAAUCUUUGAACGCAAAUUGCACUCCCUGGUAUUCCGGGGAGUAUGCCUGUUUGAGGGUCGUUAGAAUAAAAAAUCGAUGCGUCGCUCUUUUUUUUAAGGGGGAUCGCGGCGGAAUUGGGCCGGCUUUCAAAUGUUAAUUCAUGGUAAAGGGGCUUGAAAUUCAACCAUCCGGGAAGAAUGAAGCG
Molecule: unclassified non-coding RNA, 196 nt
Filed under: Glomeraceae sp.
Lineage: Eukaryota; Fungi; Glomeromycota; Glomeromycetes; Glomerales; Glomeraceae
Description: partial contains 5.8S ribosomal RNA and internal transcribed spacer 2
Rfam family: 5.8S ribosomal RNA (bases 1-71)
Source: RNAcentral